CAGAUAGAGCUAGUUCCUAAUCUCUGGAACCUGUGUCUAUUUCAGUGAUCGCAGACACUGAAGAGAAGGCAGUGUGGCCACAAGGGCAGAGAAUACAGUGGUGUAGCUGCGGUCAAAGGAUGCCAGCAGCCAAGUUUAUGAUAGUCUGAUUCAGUAGCCAGAAGAAACUCAUUCAGAAACUAAUAAAAUUACCCGUUAUGUUUAGUGAUUGAAACAGAGUUCGGAAUAAGAUUUUUUCAUCAAUGGUCCUUUUAUAGUAUCUUUUUUGUUAAACAAGAUGAAUAUAUUUACGUUUAAAAUGUAAAUCGUAAAUCUUUCCUUUAAUUCAAAGAUUUCCUCUCUUCACAGCUUAGGCUGGGACCCUAGUCAUGCAGACCACUGUGAGGAAGGGGAGUAGACAGUAUUCUGGACUUCCACUUGCUCUGCUGUGCUGGCUGGCUCCUGAUGUGGAGAUUCAAGACAAAGAGCUUGGGUUUAGCACAGUCUGGCUAUUGGUACCUCUGUCCAGGCAGCCGGCCUAACUACAGGCUCUUCGUCUCACCACUUGUUUGCACGAGCUCUUUGGAGGCCUUCACCCUGCCACAUUCCAGGACCAAGACCACAGCAACCAUGGGAGUGUAUAUUGGUAUGGAGAAACCAUAAUAUCUAAGCGAUGUGGAAAAAUGUACCAAUGGAGAACAGCAAUCCCGCCCAGUCUCCAGAACUGCUAGACUUUGCAUUAGUAAGAACCAAUCUUUUAUUGUGCUAUAUUACUGAGAAUUUUGAAAUUAUUAUUGUAGUGUAUUUUAACUUAUCCUGACUAAUACAUCCAAGUUAAUUAGCAAGUACUCUGGGAUUCUUGAACUCCACUCCCCAAGCCCUGCCAAAUUUCUGGGGUAUUGCUUCUGCCUAGGGUUUCAGGAUGUAUUGAUAUUUUACAUAUGGAUUCAUUCACACUGCUUUCUCAAAUUACGAUUAGCACUGAGGUCCUAGAAAGAUGUUAGUCUUUAUGAAACUCCAGUGAGUUGACAGUAAGCACCAAAUGUUCUCACACAUAGUUUCUGGGACGACGUGUGAAAGAGUAUAUUUUUUAGACUUUGAAAUAUACAUUUUUAUGUCUGAAAUGAUUUUUGUUGACAUUAAAAUAUGUCCUGAAUUGUGACAUCUCAAGCUUGAUGGCUUUUACCUACUCAUUAUAUAAAUUCUGUUAUGUAAGCUAGAAUGUAAACUUUAUUUCGUUUACCUGAGUUUCUAGAUUAGAGAUUGUGAAAAUUCUAGAACAAUGGUAAUCAACCUCUCGUCUUCUUUUCCAUACAUUUAUUUCUCUCUUUCUCCUUAAUUUGAAUUAAAACCAUGUCAUUAUUUCUCUCACCUGUUGGAAAUGGUUUACCUUUUUUGGUAAGGUAAGUCUUCAGAAACCAAAGAUCAAUCUUUUUAAGUUAUCAUCAGUCCCCUUGUAACGUUACUUUAUAUCUAUGAUCCGACAUGCUUUUUACCACCCCGCUUCUAUAAGUUUAUCCAUUUUAACUUAUACCUAACAUAUUUAUUAUUGCAUUUGUUUACCUGCUCAAAGCAUUUAUUUACUUCAUAGCAAUCCUUUAACUUUACUAUGAGCUAUAACUGUAACAUAAGGGUCAGCUGCCUCUAAGGGUUUCUUUUCCUUUUCCUUGGAUGUCAAGUAAACUGCCCUGAAGUGCAGUCCCUUGGGUGGGAGAAAAUCUAACAUGCUGACUAAAGACAUCCAGGCUCUUCUGUGCACCUGACUUUCUUGUGGUCCGUCCACACUGUGGCCUGUUCCCCUGUCACCCCUGGCCAGACAGGGCAGCACUGUCUGUGUGCGCACACCCACCAGCAGACUCUGAUGGAAGGUGUUGGGGCACCGGAGGGAGUUAUCAACAACUCAAGACAGUUAAGAUGAGCCAUGCAACAUUGCAUCACGGGCACGCUGCUUCUGAAGCAUGCUGUGGCCAUCCUCAUUACUGGGAAUUGCUCAGUGGGUGUCUUUCUUUUCAGACAUAGGAUGUCACUGUGAUACUGGGCUUUCCUUCAUUUUCACACUCUCCUAACACAGUCUCUACCCUCCUCCUUUCUCAGGGCUCUCCCUCCAUCUCUCUCAAGCUCUCCUCACCCUACUCCUUUGAAGCCCAGAAUCCCCCCUCAGUAUGUCCUGCACUUUGACUUUCCUAAUCUUUAACUCAACCCUAGUCCAGCUUCUUUAGUUUAUUUUUUAUUCUGUUUAUUUUUGGCCACGCAACUUGUGGGAUCUUAGUUCCCCAACCAGGGAUUGAACCCCUGCUCUCAGGAGUGAAAGCAUGAAUCUUUUUUUUUUUUUUCAAUGCUCAGUAUAUGGUUUUAUUAUCAACAACCAGGGCUGACUUGAAUUGACAACUGAUUCUGUUAUAUAAUAGUUUCAGGAAGAAUUGCUACAGAGCAUUGUUUAUCAAACUAAUAUUCUCAAAUAUGUAAACAUCUCUCUAUAUUAAAUUCCUUAUGGAAAGCAUCCCUAUCUAGCAAGCUAAUUACUUGCUUAUUUAAGUGUACAUUUU
Bos grunniens (domestic yak) is the source of this 2525-nucleotide long non-coding RNA. NCBI's taxonomy places the organism in Eukaryota, Metazoa, Chordata, Mammalia, Artiodactyla, Bovidae. The record is from Ensembl.